Molecule: long non-coding RNA, 1224 nt
Filed under: Sus scrofa (pig)
Lineage: Eukaryota; Metazoa; Chordata; Mammalia; Artiodactyla; Suidae
Description: lncRNA (ENSSSCG00060073238.1)
Source: RNAcentral
UGCAGCUGUCACUUGGUGGGUGACAUUUGAACUUUCUGUCAUUGACUUUGUCAUUGGUUUCUCUUUUGCCCUCAGGAAAAAUUCCAAAUUCCUUAGCAUGGAAUAAAAAUACCCAAGUCUGUUUGGCUCUUGAGGAAGGAUUCAGCCUAUCUCCCUCCUCUGCCCCUUUCCUCUGUCUAGCAUCCAUCAGACAGACAGCUGACAAUUCCAGACAGCUCUGCCUCACCUCUGCCCUUUGUGUUUGCUUCUUCCCUCCAUUUCCCAAACUUUUUCCUGUCCUUCACGCAUCUAUAUCCAUAUCACCUCCACCCAAAAGCUGGCAAUAUUGACACCAAGCUGGAUGUCCCUUCUAAGUGUACCAAUCGUGUCCUCGUUUGUACCUGUCAUAGGACUUAUGACUCUGUAUGGAAAUGACCUGUUCAUCUAUUUUUCCAGUUGAGAGUAUGCGAUUCUUCAGGGUGGCCUGUGUCACCUUCCACUUGUCAUUCCAGUGCUUGUCACAGCAGCUUAGCAUCUGGAUGUGGAGUAAAUGAAUGGGGAAUGAGAAAACCGGAAGCUCCAGUACUCAGCCUCAAGAGCAGUUAGCUCAGCAUGUAACCACGGGGACAAAUGCUGCUGCUGAAUUUGAAUCUGGAUCCUACGGAGCUUCUCCUCCAAGGUCUACCGAUGAUCAGCUUGUGAAAGCAUCCCAAGAAUAUGCACAGAUUCUGAAGAAAAAUUAUAUGAUCUGAAAGAUAAACAGUUGUUUCCCAUUAAAACAAAAUGUGAAAAUUUUUAUGAAAGGAAAAUACGUUUGUAUCAUCUGUGUAUGAUGAGAAUGUAUGUAGUAUUUUAUACCAUGUUUCUCUGCAUCUAACUUACUUUUAAGCAGAUUUUGUGAAUAAAAACCAGCACAGUUGAGUUUGACAUACUCCAACUGUCAUCAUUUUUCUCAUUUGUUUUAUUCCAGGUGUAAAUUAUAAUGCAUUAACUCCCAAGAGUUUUCUAUUGGAAAAUGACUAUUUAUGAAGUUCUUCAUGAUCAGUUAUCUUUGCACAUACUGCCACAGUCAAGAGAAGUCUCCAAAGUUGAAAGUAAAUACUUUAUGGUUCACCUGCACUAUUUUGAGAAGUGGAAGUAUCUAGCAGUUUUAUAGUUGAUCCUAAUUCAGAUAGGUGCUGGAUUUUAGUUACCCUGAUUUGCGGUUAGUUUUGAGAUAAGAAAAAGACAGCAGGCCGAUUUCCC